This 500-nucleotide ribosomal RNA is filed under the name uncultured bacterium. RNAcentral describes it as "partial 16S ribosomal RNA". It matches the Rfam family "Bacterial small subunit ribosomal RNA", at positions 30 to 523 of the family's 1533-position model. The record is from RNAcentral.
AUUGAACGCUGGCGGCAGGCCUAACACAUGCAAGUCGAGCGGCAGCGGGACCUUCGGGUUGCCGGCGAGCGGCGGACGGGUGAGUAAUGCCUAGGAAUCUGCCUGUUAGUGGGGGAUAACGCGGGGAAACUCGCGCUAAUACCGCAUACGUCCUACGGGAGAAAGCGGGGGCUCUUCGGACCUCGCGCUAACAGAUGAGCCUAGGUCGGAUUAGCUAGUUGGUGGGGUAAUGGCUCACCAAGGCGACGAUCCGUAACUGGUCUGAGAGGAUGAUCAGUCACACUGGAACUGAGACACGGUCCAGACUCCUACGGGAGGCAGCAGUGGGGAAUAUUGGACAAUGGGCGAAAGCCUGAUCCAGCCAUGCCGCGUGUGUGAAGAAGGUCUUCGGAUUGUAGAGCACUUUAAGUCGGGAGGAAGGGCUGUAGGUUAAUACCCUGCGGUUUUGACGUUACCGACAGAAUAAGCACCGGCUAACUUCGUGCCAGCAGCCGCGGUAA